RNAcentral lists this ribosomal RNA (253 nucleotides) under uncultured bacterium. RNAcentral's name for it is "partial 16S ribosomal RNA". It matches the Rfam family "Bacterial small subunit ribosomal RNA", at positions 524 to 776 of the family's 1533-position model. The record is from RNAcentral.
UACGAAGGGGGCUAGCGUUGCUCGGAAUCACUGGGCGUAAAGGGUGCGUAGGCGGGUCUUUAAGUCAGGGGUGAAAUCCUGGAGCUCAACUCCAGAACUGCCUUUGAUACUGAAGAUCUUGAGUUCGGGAGAGGUGAGUGGAACUGCGAGUGUAGAGGUGAAAUUCGUAGAUAUCAAGCAGAACACCUGCGGCGAAGGCGGCCUUCUGGACGAUGACUGACGCUGAGACACGAAAGCGUGGGGAGCAAACAGG